Erythranthe guttata (spotted monkey flower) is the source of this 199-nucleotide non-coding RNA. The record is from Rfam. NCBI's taxonomy places the organism in Eukaryota, Viridiplantae, Streptophyta, Magnoliopsida, Lamiales, Phrymaceae.
GGUAAGAGAGUGGAGCUCCUUGAAGUCCAAUAGAGGAUCUAGCUGGGAAGAAAUAAGCAGCUGGUUUAUGGAUCCCACAACCCUAUCCAAUUUAUUAUUUAAUUUUGUGAUAGUUUUGUGGUUUGCAUAUAUCAGGAGCUUACUUUUACCCUUUGUUUUUUCCUUGUUUGGAUUGAAGGGAGCUCUACACUUUUUCCCC